CGACGAGUGGCGCCGCGCCCGACAAGACACCGUCUGUUACGGCAGCGAGGACGGCGAAAUCGAACCAGAGCUGGAAGCCAUCCCAGAGUCUCCAAAGACAGCUUCAUCCCACCAAAGCUUCUGUGGGUCGUUGGUGGACCUGGAGGAGGUGUCGCCCAUGCAGUCGGUGCAGCCGGUCCGUGUCGGCUCCUUCUCCGGUCUCGGUGUGGUCGAGGUA
This is a long non-coding RNA of Pollicipes pollicipes, 217 nucleotides long. RefSeq lists it as uncharacterized. The transcript has 3 exons. The record is from RefSeq and is a predicted model, not a curated record. NCBI's taxonomy places the organism in Eukaryota, Metazoa, Arthropoda, Thecostraca, Pollicipedomorpha, Pollicipedidae.